Non-coding RNA from Gemmatimonadetes bacterium 13_1_20CM_2_70_10, 74 nucleotides. The record is from Rfam. NCBI's taxonomy places the organism in Bacteria, Pseudomonadati, Gemmatimonadota.
GCCCCUGUAGCUCAGGUGGAUAGAGCGGCGGUUUCCUAAACCGUAGGCCGGGCGUUCGAGUCGCCCCAGGGGCG